ACAAAUUCAGUCAGUUACUGUGAGUAAUCUUCUCCACUUUAUUAAGCUUUUUAUUUUGAUCAUAAAAUUAUUGAAGAAUCAAGGACUUAGAGCUACAAUUCUCCUUGGAGAGGCAUAUUCAUCAUUUUCAAGUAUAUAGAGUUAGCACAUACAAAAAAUAUGUACGAAUGAAAGAUAUAUAAGCGUUCUCUUUCUGUCUUUAUGUUCACAUUGUGUCCUGUUUGUGCGUGAAAGUUGAUGUUGUCAAGCCUCUUUAUUGUUGGAAACAUUGAUCUUUUAGUCAUAAGGAGGGGUUAUUACUUAAAGGAUGCAUUUCCAUGUUAUACUAGCACUACCAGGUAAUUAUUUCAGUUACUUUUUACACACACUUUAAGUCUUUAAAACAUCAAUUUUGAAACAAAGUAGAAAAGUACACUUAUUUUUCUUCAAAGUUGAGACACCCUCUUCAUUGAGUUGUUUGUAAUUUUGAUGCUAUUGUGUUUUUAUAUUCACAUNNNNNNNNNNNNNNNNNNNNNNNNNNNNNNNNNNNNNNNNNNNNNNNNNNNNGAAAUUUGCUCGAGGUCCGAUCCUAAUUUUGAGGGAUUGCAUGCAUCUCAAAGAAGUAAGGUUAUAGACUUAGGCUUAUAAUACAUUUAUGGUUCCCAAUUUAUUGAGUUAACCUCUGCCUCUGAAAUGCUUCAAAUUCAUGAGGCAGAUGGGAGUUCUAAUAUAAAGAUGUUCGUUUCCUUGCUAUAUUUUGAGGAAAAUGAAAAUGAUUGAAUUUAAUAGAUUUUAUUUUACCCUUUGUAGAGAUUAGUGAACACGGAUGCUGUGAUGGAGCUCCUGCCUUGGAAAGAUAGACUUAAGAGUCUAUGGACGGUUCACAUACUAAUCAAAGCUUUAGGAAACAUGUCCAGUUAAACAUAGGUGAGAAUCAAGAAGAAUUUUAUCUUUUGAUUACUAUUGCUUUUAAUGUGUAGCCAAAAAUCAAUAAGAAACCUAGCAGCAUCAGUAAUGGGUAGUUUGAACAUUGACAUUAGUAGCAUACGAAUACAUGGGAUGGGAUAGCGAAGAAGCAUGAUGACUGACCUAUAUAUUCAUGUGUUUAUUAUAUAUUCAUGACCUAUAUAUUCAGAACACAGUGUCACGUCACUUUCAUCUCUGUAUUCCUUUUUUUCUUUUCCUUCACACAUUGCUUUCCUUCUUUUCUUUCUCCACCCCAUUUUGGUGAAAAACCAAAAGCUACUUUGCAAUCCUAUUCUACAAUGCUUUGACCAAUGCUUUCAAAAUUUAAAUUUCAAAAACCCCUCCAAAAUCAUUCUCUAAAAUUUGCUACAUUUCAUUUUUCUCUUAAAUUUUUUGUUUGUGGUCCUUUUGUCACACUCUAAGUGGAUCACUUUUAGUUUCGUAUUUUUAUUUUUAUUUACAUAGAAGGAAUUAUUGUCAUUCUUUGAAUUUCUUACUAUAGCGAGUUAGUGAGGUGCAUAACUUGAUUGUAUUUGAAAACUCCUCAUUAGACGUUGAAGUUAAUAUCACAUAACUUGAUUCGUAUGCUACAGCCACUUCAAAUCUGGUUUUGUGCACACUUAACUGAUUUUGUUUUAUACCUGGCAGAGAAUUCCAUGGAGAUCGAACCUUAAAUGAGAAACAAGUUGAGAUUCUUAAUGACAUCACUAUCAUUUUCAGAGGUAACCCUUAUUUCUUUCUAUUUUCCGUUACGUCAUUAUUUAUAAAAAAUAAUGUAACUACUUUGUUGUCAAUGAUUUGCAUUCUCCAAACUUCAUGUAUAGUAUUAUAAAAGAAUAAGCCACCAGACUCUCAAUGCAAAACAUGCCUAAUAAUCGGUAUAGUGCGGUAGGGCAUUCAACUCAAUAUCAUUUUGUUUUGGUUGUUUAACCAUGUUUUAAUUUCGAGUUUGUGCCUGAACUAACAUAAGUGGUACGAUGUUUUGGCAUCUAGAAUUAUUUUGAUGAUUGUCUUUUUCUACAGUUUUUGACCAAAUAUUACAGAGCAUGUCAUACGGAAAAAAUUAGAAAGGAAGGAGCAAGAAGAUUAGCUAAAGCUUGAGUGCAACUAAGAUAGAUACAGUUUGUAAUAAAUAUAAUACCCUUAAAUGUUGAAUAGAAUCACUGUCUAACAUUGUUUUUCCAAUAUAAUUAUGCUUAUUCAAUAGCUUUAAAGCAUUGCUUUAUUUUUUUCAAAUGCAUUGAUUUGGUGAAUUAGUCUUCAAUUAGAUUUAUUUUGGUUUUUUGUUUUUUAUUUUUCCUUUUUGUUGAUAGUUUCAUUGCAUUUUCUACGUUGCUCUAUAGUUUUUCAAUCACAUUAAUUAUUAACAUUCAUAUUCACGAUGAAGCUAAUUGUAUUAGUAUAAAACAAAAUACGUUUAAAACGUUCUCUUUAUUAAUCAAUUCUUAUAAGACGAGAGGUUAUAGUAUAUACUAUUGAUAUUAUUUUUUUUGUUCGAUCUGAUGUUAGCGAGGAAGAAUAUAUAUU
This 2472-nucleotide long non-coding RNA is filed under the name Trifolium pratense (red clover). Its description in RNAcentral is "long non-coding RNA (TPRA_LNC003771)". The record is from RNAcentral. Lineage: Eukaryota; Viridiplantae; Streptophyta; Magnoliopsida; Fabales; Fabaceae.